This 2167-nucleotide long non-coding RNA is filed under the name Sus scrofa (pig). Its description in RNAcentral is "lncRNA (ENSSSCG00055023339.1)". Lineage: Eukaryota; Metazoa; Chordata; Mammalia; Artiodactyla; Suidae. The record is from RNAcentral.
CAUCUGCUAGAUUUUUAUUAAAGUAACAAAAAAAGGUGUACAUUUGUCCAUAAACCUGUACAUUCUUCCAUAUAAAACACUAUUAUACAAUUAGUAACCUUUGUCUUUUCUAUCAGAAUAGCUUACAAACUACUAUUAUUUAUUUUUACUUAAUAGGAGAGACAGGCCUGCUCAACAGUCCAGCUCUGGGUGUUUUGUUGAUUUUAAAGUGAACAUCAAAAAGAAGAGAGAAAAGAUUAAGCAUGAGACUAUGAGGCUGCUUAUAAUCUGCAGUGAUUCACAGCUUUGUUUCAACCCACAGGCCAGAAAAUUAGCUCUUGGGUCUGUGGGCCCAAAGUUACCUUUAAAGCAAUAAAGACUGGAAACAGGGGCUGGGAUGGUAGCUGGGGAUCUGGAACGUUGAAGAGGCAGAACUGGCAGGAAUGGGUAGGGAAAGUGUUUGGUAAAUAGCACCUUUGAAUCAGAACUGAGUAGUUAAGAAAUCCAGGAAAGGGGACUGGCAGUGGGGAGGAAGUUUUCUCCACAAGGGGCAAUGGCAGGAGGGUAGCCAGGUUGACCAGAUGUUCUAGCUCCAUCCUUCUUGAGAUGGUCUUGGGUUUGCGAUACUCAAGGCCUUCUGAGGACCCCUCACUAAUACCACUGAAAACCUGAAGGAAGAGGAUUUCUUCCCAGUGUAGUUUUGCAUUUUUCUGCAACCCAAAACAGUAAAUAUUGCACAAGUCUACAGACAAAUUUGGAUUGUACUGAGAGACGGCAACAUCUCCCACAGGUGCUCUGAGCACGGGGAAGAAAAAAACAAUGCCCAAGGUUUGGCUUUUAGUGUCAGCCCUACAAAAAUACCAAGUAGUCCUGCAGAACUUGGGGCAUUCUCCCAUUCGGCCAAGGAAUACUGCAAGGCUGAGGAUCCAGCCAUAGUCCCAAGGACAGAGGGAGAGAUGGUUCCCUAAGCCUGCCAAGGCACCAGAAGGUUGUAAGAGCCAGUUCUCCUCCAGACCCUCCUGGGACCCAAGAGGCCAUAUUGCACAGUGACUGAGAACUUUUGUCCUAGAAAACAGGGUAACUGCAUGACCCAACCAGGAGGGGAGAGGAGCAGGGAGAGUUAGAGAGGAGUGUUGUGCUUUUAAAAAGAAGGCAGUAAUCAAGGAUGUGGAGUUCCCUGUAACUUUUGAGCCACCUCUCCAAGGGAUAAUGGUAGCAUCGCCAGGACUUUCACGUAGUUCCAAAAAAAAAAAAAAAAAAAAAAAAUUACCACAUGUACACAUAGAGCAGCACAUAGCAAGGCAAAGAUUUCGUGCAGAGUACCCUUCUGUCCCAACUCCAAUAACCUGCAACCCCUGCCUCACUCCCCUGAACCCCCAAACAAAAAGCUUUAUAUUCUUGGUGGGUAGCAACAUCCAUAGGCCCCUGAGAAUAGAAUUAGAAAUAAGUCAUGAUUUUAAGAAAAACUGUUCAGGACAGAAGGAAUCAAGAGAGGCUUUUUCACUCUCUGCCUAGGAUCUCAUUAGAAAAAUAAAAGAGAAAGAUUAGGCAAUAUAGCAUAAUUUAAGUCCAGGUUUGAAUGCCCCUGAGUAAGAGAGGGGCUGGGGAUGCAGGUGUCCUGGUUAGAAGAGGGAGAGGUUAGAACUCAGCCUCUCUUCUCCAUCCAGGACAGAUCCUGACCUCUCUCAUUCACAGUUGCUAACCUUGCUUGCUCCUUCUCACAACUUCCUGGGGUGCUAGCCAAGCCUCUCCCCCAUCACCUUGACCAGACCCGCCCCCUGAACUUUCCCCCCUCCCAUAGGCAGACACUGGCUCCCAGACUCAAGCGCACAACGAUUCUCUCCAAAGGCACCUGGGGAGGCCACUUCCAAGCAGCUCCCUUUAAGGAUUUUUUUCUUAAAAAAAAUCUUUUGGUUUUUUUUUUUCUCCUCUUUUCUUAAAAAAAAAAAUAAUAUAUAUAUAAAUAGCUCUUCAUUUAAAAUACAGUUCCCCAGGUUGAGGUAUGCAAUGGCCUGUUGUCACGGCAGGCAGAAUGAGUACAGUAGAGUGCCAGGUGGCGGCCACAGGGGAUCUAACUGGAGACCGCCAUGACGUAGUUCUUCGAGGGGCUGCUCCUGCCCAGCAUCAUUUGGUUCUUGCAGGUGAGGAGCCCAUAGGAGGUGGCCACCGGGGCCUCCUCGUACAGGAC